AACGAACGCUGGCGGCAUGCCUAACACAUGCAAGUCGAACGAGACCAUCGGGUGUUGUGGCGCACGGGUGCGUCGCGCGUCGGAAGCUUCCCUUAGGUUCGGAAUAACUCCCCGACGGGGGUGCUAAUGCCGGAUAAUGUCUUCUGACCAAAGAUUUAUCGAAUUUGGAUGGGCCCGCGUUGGAUUAGCUUGUUGUUAGGGUAAUAGCCUACCAAGGCGACGAUCCAUAGCUGGUCUGAGAGGAUGCUCAGCCACACUGGGCCGGAGACACGGCCGAGAAUCCUACGGGAGGGAGCAGUGGCGUACAGUGGACAUUCGGCGAAGGCCUGAACGAGCAACGCCGCGUGAAUGAUGAAGGUCGGAAGGUAGUAAAGCCCUUUUACCCGGGCGCAUAUUGACAGGACCGGGAGAAAAAGCCCCGGCUAACUCCGUG
This 433-nucleotide ribosomal RNA is filed under the name uncultured bacterium. Its description in RNAcentral is "partial 16S ribosomal RNA". It matches the Rfam family "Bacterial small subunit ribosomal RNA", at positions 29 to 507 of the family's 1533-position model. The record is from RNAcentral.